UGCAAACAACAUCUAUAACCCAGCAAUC
RNAcentral lists this non-coding RNA (28 nucleotides) under Mus musculus (house mouse). The record is from RNAcentral. Lineage: Eukaryota; Metazoa; Chordata; Mammalia; Rodentia; Muridae.